AGUGGUUCGAGGUUGCCAUCUUGGAUAGUUAUUUCUCCCAGUUUGGUGCAACCUCAAACAAAAAAGCAUUGGCAAUUUUAGUAUUUUUGGUGGGAAACUAAUGAAAGUGAAAAAUUUUUGUAAUGGGUGUAGUUUACAAUGCCAAGUUAGUUACAAUAAUGCAGGUAUUGGAUAUUGGUGGACUCGGAAUCCAUUUCAUUCAUGCUAAGCCCAGUAAAGAAUUGAUGAAAAACAAAAAAGUUUUACCGUUGCUGCUUCUUCAUGGAUGGCCAGGCUCAUUCAUAGAGUUCACAAAAAUUAUUCCCUUGCUCACUAGGGAAACUGAAGGAUAUGAUUUUGUGUUUGAACUUGUAGUUCCCUCUUUGCCUGGCUAUAGGUUCUCUGACCCAGCUCGAAAACCUGGUUUAGGUCCUGCUGAAAUGGGACUUAUUUUCGACCGGUUAAUGAAAAGGCUCGGGUACGACAAAUAUUACGUCCAAGGUGGAGACUGGGGUUCCCUCAUCGGUUCAAAUAUGGCUACUCUCUUCCCUGAUAGGUGCUCUCUAAUACAGCUUUUAUCAGUAUUUUAUUCAUAAUUUAUGUUUUCAAAAUUCUAGAGUAAAGUAUUUAAUUUAUUAUUAUAUUUUCUCUACAUUAAUUAUAUAAAGAAAACAUGUUUAUCGUAAAUACAAUUUCCUUUAGUAAUUUCUCACCAUAAUUACUACGCUAAAGCAGCUCAGCCAAUCAGGUAUGGCACGCCUUCGUGCCAAAUGCCAAUACAUUAACAUCUUAUCCAAAUAAUGCACUUGUAGGGUUUGUGAGGGCAGCAAUAAAUUUCCUAGAUAAAACAUUAAA
Molecule: long non-coding RNA, 834 nt
Organism: Daphnia magna
Lineage: Eukaryota; Metazoa; Arthropoda; Branchiopoda; Diplostraca; Daphniidae
Exons: 2
Source: RefSeq, a predicted model, not a curated record